CAGUCCAGGGAGGACAGCACUACUGUGUGCAAAGGGACCGGGAGAGAGAUUGCACGCAACCAUCCACACAAAAAGCUCAACCAGUGUUCUUGGUCAGUGUGCAGAUGUGUACAAGCACAAGAUUUUACACACCCCACACACAGGCCGGCCGCAUGGAUCGGAGCAGCAGCAGCAGCAGCUAUAGCAAGAAGGACGAAGAGAAAGGCCUCCUGACAGAGCUAGCUAGUGUCAUGUGUCGCCGGCCGGCGACUAGCGCUCCGGCAUCCUGAUCUAGGGUUUCCGCAUCUGCGUGCAGGUUUAUGUUUGUCUCUGCUCGCGGCAUAUCUCAUGUAAUUAAUAAAGCAAGAUGGAGAUCAGAGGCUGGCCUUUUAGCUUUUCUUUAGAUAAUGGCUGCAGGCUUUUUAGCUAGGGUUUGGUGCGAGAGCUAGCAGCUGUGUGGUGAGGAGCUACAGCUAGGUCUUUCGAAAAAGGAGCUACUGCAGCUAGAGUGUGUGUGGCCGUGCUGUAGUGCGUGGGAUUAGGGCACAUCGAGGGCCUGAUCUCAUCAUCAUCACCCUGGGGUCCGGAUCAGCUCUAUAUAUUUGUUAUUGCCAAACACCUUCGACCUCGCUCCAGCUUCUUCCUAGCUCAGCUAUCUAGUCGCCUAGUCCCCAUUAUUCUCAGUCAUUGUUCAUAUGUGUAGUAUGUGCGAGGGAGAAAGAAUAAUGUGAGCUGUGUUGAGGGCGAUUGCUGCUAGCAAUGGAGAAGAUCUUGCAGGCGUGAAAGCAUCCCUUGAGCUUGUCUUGACACAGGACAUGAUGUGCUCUUGCGUGCAGGGCAUAUUUUGGUUGGAGGCGAUGGCGGCAGGAGGAAGAGAGGUGAAAACUAGGGAAUAUGCCUGGCUCCCUGUAUGCCACUCGCACGGCUACCACCUGGACGAUCAUAUCGGAGCCCUGAUCGAUCGGUGGCCGAUGCGGCUGGCGUGCGAGGUGCCAAGCAUGGCCCUGCUCUCUCUCUCUCUCUCUCUCUCUCUCUCUCUCUCUCUCUCUCUCUCUCUCUCUCUCAUUUGAUCUGCUUAGCAUUUCUUAUUUAUUCACAAUAAUAUAUAGUCGCUGACCCGUGCAUUCGCAAAGGCUAGAGAAGCUAGACUCACACAUGCUAACCUUUAUCCUUUGUAUGAGGUAUUCGUAUAGUAUAUGCAACAUUAUUUGAAUCUAGUGUUGAUUAUAUACAGAUUUAGCCUUUGUAUGAGGUAUUGUAGGAAGCUGGCAUAUAUACAGCUGUGAUGAAAUCUCUACUGCUGUGGGUGUGUGUAGCUAGGUUUGAGUCUUCCACAAGUAGAAAAUAAUGUACUCAUGCAUUGGCUUUAUUUUUUAAUAAAAAAACUUAAUAAUGUGUUCUUGGACUCGUAUCAUAAUGCUCCUAGUCUUUUCUUCUCCUUUUGGAAAGGUACCUUCUAUAGCUUGAAGAGAACACAUUUGUUAAUCACAUAAACAUAUGUAGUGUUGUAUUAUAGGAAGCUGGUCGAUCACAUAAACACCUUUGUUAAUCAUUUGUUAUUUAGGAAUCCAAGUUUGAUUCCUAACUCUGAUAUAUACAUGUGUCAUGUGUGUGUAUGCUGCUGCGUGUGUGAGAGUGUGAUGUGGGUUGAGGCGGCGCGCGCACGAUGACAAACCAGCCCAGGCCCCAGGGAGACGGACGCGUUGAAGUUUGUGUGGCCCCGUCGCAAAUGCCACGGCCCAGCGAGCCAUACGCUAUGGGCUUUUCUUCUAAACUCUACUAUGCGGCAUUGGGCCGGCCGGCGGGCAUUGGGCAGCAGGAUUACGACUCAACGUUUGGUCGUUCAUAUCCAUCCAGUCGAGCAAGGGGGAAUUUGUUUAAAAGUUUAACUUUCAUGAUAUACGUCUCUUAUCACGUAAGAUGGUAUAUAUAUUUUGUAGAUAUAUUACUAAUCAAAUAAGUGUAAUAUUGGAGACCGCAAUAUCCUAACGAACUUAUAUUUUCUAUUACCGGUGGAACGCCAUAUGGUUCAUGGUAGAUAUGCAUAUGCCAUUCCCUCUAUUCGAAACACAUUUUUUUAGAGCUGCCUGUUAUAUUGAAGGGAAGGAGAAGCUAGAAAUCCCAAAGUAAUUAUAGGUGCUAUAGGAAAUUACACCUUAUACACAAGAUUUGCCAAAUGUUUCGCGGGUCCUUGAUUCUUGAAGCAACUACCGAUGCUGAUGACUCGAUCGAAAAUGCGAGCGUUGCGCUCCUUCCACACUUCCCAGCAGCAAAUGAGAAUGAUAGGCGAUCGUAGUCCCUUAAGUGGCCUGCUCCUAGUUCGCUGGGAGAAUCUCCGGUAUUGCAGCCAAGUAGCUAGUUGGGUCCAGAUGCGUGUUGAAAACCUACACUCGAAUCGAAGAAGAGGUGUUUCCCUGUCUCCAGCGCCCGGCGGCCAACCACUGGAGCUCAGUCUAUCCAGCUAGCCACGCAAUGAUUCUUAAACCGCGGAGAUAGAAAACGUAGGAAUACAUUAUUGCCAUCUUCAAUCAUAUGGACUGAAGAAUGAAGUUACACAUGAAACUGCAUGAAUGAUCGUUUAGACGGAGCACAUAAAAAACAAAAAUAGAUAGUGAAACAAAGGGAACUUUUUACAAUGUUUAUCCUUGAUAUCGUUCCCCUAAGAUUCCUUUGAACUUGUGUGAACUCAAGUCCUUUGUUCCAACUUCCAAGAGGCUUCGUAGGAAAACUUUAGGCAGGAUUCAAGCAUCGACCACUCGACGAUAUUUGAAUGUUCUCACGGAGGAUGCAAAGGGCUGGCCUUUUUCCAUUUUUUUUCUUUUGCGUUGCUAUAGGAAAAAGAAAACACGGAGAUGGAGACUAAAAUGACCACCGAGCCCUCAGCCGAUGCUCUCGAUCGGGAACUCUGACUGCUCGCCUCCUCGGUCUCUCGGCCACACCGGCCGGCGGACACGGGCUCCACUUCGCCGCGGGCCAUCGCAUUCGCAGGUUCACACGGGGACGAGAGCCGAACCGUCCGCCUAAACUACUAUAAAAUGACCAUCGAGCCCCCAGCCGAUGAACAGCGACAGCGGCCACUUCGCCUUUCCUCGCUGCUCUUGGCCUCCUGCCCUGCUCGCUCCGUCUCCUCUCUCCCUCGCGGCCGCACCAGGCCAGCGACCGUAAUGGCCACUGCGCCACCGGGGGAUCCGCCGCCGCCGGACUCCGCAGAUGACUGCAUUCCACUAAAGAAGAGGACUUUGUGCGGUAUCCAGCAGCAUGUCCAGACUCCUGAUAGAAUCAGUUCGCUACCUGAUGACAUUUUGGUCAGCAUUCUUUCGCUAAUGACUGUAAGGGAGGCUGCAAUGACUGACUGUCUUUCCACCAGAUGGAGACACCUCUGGGCAAUAUGUUGACCAUCUCAUCCUUGACCCACAUGCUCUUGGGAUGCAAGUGCAAGCAGAUUCAAAUAAUCAUGGAAAUCCAAAUUUCUAUAACCCAGAAGCUACAAAGUUUGUGCAUAAAGUUAAUGAACUUUUGAGCCAUCAUAAUGGCAAUAAAAUCAAGAUGUUCAAGGUCCAUUUCCCAUUAAACUCAGCCCAUGCUUCUGAGCUAGAUCGCUGGGUUGCGUUUGCAGUUGCAUCCCAUGUAGAAACAUUUGUCCUUUUCCUUGGUGACAAGCAUGUCAUGGGGGACCACAGAGCAUACAGAGCCAUAUGUCUUCGCUUUGAAGCAUUUUUCUGAUGUCAGAAGCUGUCAAUUGCAUACAUUGUCUCUAGACAAGUGCAUUUUAGAAACAGCCCCUGCAAACCUCAAUGGAUUUUCCAAUCUACAUUACCUGUUACUCCACCAUGUGCAAGUGGUUGAUGAUGUUGUUCUGAGUAUCGUGUCCAGCUGUCAGGCUCUCUGCUACUUGAAUCUGAGCCGUUGCAAUAAAUUGAGAAAUCUGCACAAUUGGUGGCCAUGGAAGUUUAUUGCUGCAGUAGAAUAAAAAGUAUCAGUAUUCAUGCUGAAAAGAUCAAGAGUUUCUCAUACAUGGGUCGUCCAAGGGUACAUACUGUGUACGAGUGUGCACCGGUUCUUUGAGAGCUCAGUGCAUCUCAUGUGGAAACUAGCUACCAAUCCCCUUUAAACUGCUUAGGUGUAUUUCCUGAGCUCAAAAUGCUGACAUUGCAAUUUCCAUCACGUUUACAGAUAUCUUGUGUACUACUGCACAGUGGAAAAUUCGCCGGUUUGAAGGAAAUUACUUUGGGUAUCUUAUUUAGAUCUUGGAAAAAGAGCAUUCGUUUUGUGGCUUUUGUCCGUAAAGUUGCCCCUUUAGUUGAAACACUUAAGGUUGAGGAUGUAACACAAUUUUAACAGUCAGAUUUCAGAAUUUUUUUCUGGCCCUCACGGUCCCACUAACUGAGUGGUCACUGUUCAGCUAUCCUUUAGCCUUGUACUGUCUCAUGUUGGUUUAUUUAUUUGCAGGCUGGUGGCAACCUACGACCACUGAAAGAUCUUAAGGUUAGAUGGCCCAAGAAUUUUGCGGAAACAAGGCUCAGGACUAUUAGGAUUGAAGGGUUUAGUGGGGAAUCAGAGUUCGUUGUUGCAACUCUUGUUUUUUCUGUGCUCAAGACACUGCUAAUUGACACUGGCCGUCGUGGCCGAGCCAAGUACCGAGGCUUAUGGCGCAGGAGUAAUAGGUCUGAAGAUGCCGUGAGGCAAGAGAGGUGGCACAGAUACACCUGGCCCCUAAUGUUCCGUCCACAGUGAAGCUUAGUAUCAUGUAACUUGUUGAUACUAAGCUAGUUACAUGAUACUAAGAAUGCCAUAAGUGAUGGUCAGAAAAUA
Setaria italica (foxtail millet) is the source of this 4791-nucleotide RNA transcript. RefSeq lists it as uncharacterized. Lineage: Eukaryota; Viridiplantae; Streptophyta; Magnoliopsida; Poales; Poaceae. The record is from RefSeq and is a predicted model, not a curated record. The transcript has 6 exons.